RNAcentral lists this long non-coding RNA (899 nucleotides) under Capsella rubella. RNAcentral's name for it is "long non-coding RNA (CRUB_LNC003302)". Lineage: Eukaryota; Viridiplantae; Streptophyta; Magnoliopsida; Brassicales; Brassicaceae. The record is from RNAcentral.
AAAAAUCUCGGCGACGGCGAUUCUCUUCGUCUGUCUUCCGGCGUCUCCCGUUCGUCAGAGUCGCUGAGAUCCUCCUGCACUUGUCGUUCAGGUUCGUUUCGAUUCUCUUUUGCCAAUCCAACUCAGAACUGUGUGUUUUGUUUCAUUGAUGUUAACUCUUGUGAUUGCAUUCUCUGGAUGGUUACUUGUAUACACAUGUGAUGCGUAUGUGUGUUUGGUGGAGAAUAAGUGAGAAACACAUUACUAAUAUUUGUCUUUCAUCUCUAAUACUUGCUUUCAUGCUAGGUGCUGUAUUGGGAGAUGAAGAACCGGAGAUCGGUUGAGAGAUAGAUUCUUGCAUGAUCAAGUUUUUUAUUUCUAUGUCGUUUACCUUAAUCAGGUAUAUAUAGAGGGUGACAUGACAACCUUAAAGCCAGCUUGUGAACUUGUAAGCCAUAUCUAUAACAAGCAUGUGUAACAUUUGAAUAAUAGAAGCAACAGGUAACACCGUAACAAACAAAGGCGAGAAGAAGACGAAAAAAUAGAUGUAGAGCAAAUCAAUCCCUUUUACUAAUCUAUCACAGUCACCGCAGCGUCACCGUUUUGGGUCUUGUAAGCAGUCAACAGGUGAAAGAGACCAGAGAGGUGUGUCUUGUUAACAAAAAAGCAUUUGUGAAGUUUGUAUUGUUUAUGUCUUGAAUCCCAAAUGACCCAUUUUGUGGACCUUCUUUGUGGGUCGCACGUGGGUGUCCCAGUUUCAUCUUCACUGUUUCAGUGUUUUGGACCCAUCUCCUGACUCAUGGCUCCAUGUUAUUAUUUUAUUUUUCCUAAAUGUCAUUAUGAUUCAGGACCCAAGAUAAAUUUUUUAAUUAAAAACAAAAGUUCAAAGUGAAAUAUAAAGAAGAGAAAGGAAAGCAAAA